This 699-nucleotide ribosomal RNA is filed under the name uncultured bacterium. RNAcentral's name for it is "bacterial SSU rRNA". It matches the Rfam family "Bacterial small subunit ribosomal RNA", at positions 809 to 1504 of the family's 1533-position model. The record is from RNAcentral.
AUGAGCACUAGGUGUUGGUCCUUCGGGAUCAGUGCCGCAGCUAACGCAUUAAGUGCUCCACCUGGGGACUACGGCCGCAAGGCUAAAACUCAAAGGAAUUGACGGGGACCCGCACAAGCGGUGGAACAUGUGGUUUAAUUCGAUGCUACGCGAAGAACCUCACCAAGGCUUGACAUGCUCGUCGUAUCUCUCUGAAAGGAGAGAGUCGGUUAGGCCGGACGAUGCACAGGUGCUGCAUGGCUGUCGUCAGCUCGUGUCGUGAGAUGUUGGGUUAAGUCCCGCAACGAGCGCAACCAUUGCCCCAUGUUGCUACCACACUUUUAAUCUUCGGAUUAUGGUGUGCGCACUCUUGGGGGACUGCCUGGGAUAACCAGGAGGAAGGUGGAGAUGACGUCAAGUCAGUACGGCCCUUAUGCCUUGGGCUACACACGUGUUACAAUGGACGGUACAGAGGGUUGCCAACCCGCGAGGGGGAGCUAAUCUCAAAAAGCCGUCCUCAGUUCGGAUUGGAGUCUGCAAUUCGACUCCAUGAAGCCGGAAUCGCUAGUAAUGGGAGAUCAGCUCGCUCCCGUGAAUACGUUCCCGGGUCUUGUACACACCGCCCGUCAAGCGAUGAAAGCCGGGGGUACCCGAAGUCCUAUGUAGAUAGGCCGAAGGUAAAAUCGGUGAUUGGCGCUAAGUCGUAACAAGGUAACCGUA